This is a non-coding RNA of Opisthocomus hoazin, 83 nucleotides long. The record is from Rfam. Lineage: Eukaryota; Metazoa; Chordata; Aves; Opisthocomiformes; Opisthocomidae.
GUCAGGAUGGUCGAGCGGUCUAAGGCGCUGCACUCAGGUUGCGGUCUCCCUGGGAGCUGAGGGUUCGAGUCCCACUCCUGACA